GACGAACCGUGCGAACGUUGUUCGGAAUUACUGGGCGUAAAGGGCUCGUAGGCGGCCAACUAAGUCAGACGUGAAAUCCCCAGGCUCAACCUGGGAACUGCGUCUGAUACUGGAUGGCUUGAAUUCGGGAGAGGGAUGCAGAAUUCCAGGUGUAGCGGUGAAAUGCGUAGAUAUCUGGAGGAAUACCGGUGGCGAAGGCGGCAUCCUGGACCGACAUUGACGCUGAUGAGCGAAAGCUAGGGGAGCAAACGGG
RNAcentral lists this ribosomal RNA (253 nucleotides) under uncultured bacterium. RNAcentral's name for it is "partial 16S ribosomal RNA". It matches the Rfam family "Bacterial small subunit ribosomal RNA", at positions 524 to 776 of the family's 1533-position model. The record is from RNAcentral.